This 551-nucleotide ribosomal RNA is filed under the name uncultured Geobacter sp. RNAcentral's name for it is "bacterial SSU rRNA". It matches the Rfam family "Bacterial small subunit ribosomal RNA", at positions 355 to 896 of the family's 1533-position model. Lineage: Bacteria; Pseudomonadati; Thermodesulfobacteriota; Desulfuromonadia; Geobacterales; Geobacteraceae. The record is from RNAcentral.
UGGGGAAUUUUGCGCAAUGGGGGAAACCCUGACGCAGCAACGCCGCGUGGGUGAUGAAGGCCUUCGGGUCGUAAAGCCCUGUCGGGAGGGAAGAAAUGAUUGAGAGCUAAUACCUCUUGGUCUUGACGGUACCUCCGAAGGAAGCACCGGCUAACUCCGUGCCAGCAGCCGCGGUAAUACGGAGGGUGCAAGCGUUGUUCGGAAUUAUUGGGCGUAAAGCGCGUGUAGGCGGUCUUUUAAGUCUGAUGUGAAAGCCCCGGGCUCAACCUGGGAAGUGCAUUGGAAACUGGGAGACUUGAGUACGGGAGAGGAGAGUGGAAUUCCUAGUGUAGGAGUGAAAUCCGUAGAUAUUAGGAGGAACACCGGUGGCGAAGGCGGCUCUCUGGACCGAUACUGACGCUGAGACGCGAAAGCGUGGGUAGCAAACAGGAUUAGAUACCCUGGUAGUCCACGCCGUAAACGAUGAGUACUAGGUGUUGCGGGUAUUGACCCCUGCAGUGCCGUAGCUAACGCAUUAAGUACUCCGCCUGGGAAGUACGGUCGCAAGACUA